RNAcentral lists this ribosomal RNA (490 nucleotides) under uncultured bacterium. RNAcentral's name for it is "bacterial SSU rRNA". It matches the Rfam family "Bacterial small subunit ribosomal RNA", at positions 28 to 531 of the family's 1533-position model. The record is from RNAcentral.
GACGAACGCUGGCGGCGUGCCUAACACAUGCAAGUCGAGCGAAUGAAGUUUCUUCGGGAACGGAUUUAGCGGCGGACGGGUGAGUAACACGUGGGCAACCUGCCUCAUAGAGGGGAAUAGCCUUCCGAAAGGGAGAUUAAUACCGCAUAAGAUUGUAGUACCGCAUGGUACAGCAAUUAAAGGAGCAAUCCGCUAUGAGAUGGGCCCGCGGCGCAUUAGCUAGUUGGUGAGGUAACGGCUCACCAAGGCGACGAUGCGUAGCCGACCUGAGAGGGUGAUCGGCCACAUUGGGACUGAGACACGGCCCAGACUCCUACGGGAGGCAGCAGUGGGGAAUAUUGCACAAUGGGGGAAACCCUGAUGCAGCAACGCCGCGUGAGUGAUGACGGCCUUCGGUUGUAAAGUCUCUGUCUUCAGGGACGAGUAAAUGACGGUACCUGAGGAGGAAGCCACGGCUAACUACGUAGCCAGCAGCCGCGGUAACUGUAGU